This 1150-nucleotide long non-coding RNA is filed under the name Nicotiana tabacum (common tobacco). RNAcentral's name for it is "long non-coding RNA (NTAB_LNC001034)". The record is from RNAcentral. Lineage: Eukaryota; Viridiplantae; Streptophyta; Magnoliopsida; Solanales; Solanaceae.
CAAACACAGACAAAUACAAAUAAUUAUCCAAAAAUAUCACAAAAAUACUCAAAAUUGCACACCAAGGAAAAUCAUUUUAUUUGCAUUUUCUGGGAGUAUUUCUCUAUAGGGCAAAAAUCACGUGCUUACAAGUUGUCUAUAAUAUCAUCUGAAAAAGAAUUAUUAGAAAAAAUUAAUUAUAAAAAAGAUCAUUAAUAACUUUAUAUCUCGAAAAGUUAGAACAUAAGGUUUCAAAUAAAAAUAUCUCUUAUAACUUCCUUUUAAAAAUUUAGGCUUCGUAUUAAAUUUUGGCUUUAGAUCGCGCAUGUGCUUGAGUCGCCCUGAGAAGAAGGUCUCCUAGAAAAAGAUGUUUCAGAAUCAGAUAACCAAAGAAGCAAUUUUGAAUCAUAUUGGUGAUUACGAAGAUAAUACUUGUUAAACUAAAGACAACUACUUUUCGUCUUUGUUUUCUCGUACUGAAUUCCUCCAAUUGUGGUUCAAUUCUCCAUCAUAUAUAUGCCUAAUUCGAUUUUGGGAAAAUUAAACAGACAGAAAGAAAGCGAUAUGUUUCCAUUAAUUAAAAUCAAGGCACUAAAUUACAGUAUCAAGAUACUCUAUAUGGAUGAAAGACUAUAUAUAAUAUAACCAAAAUAAAAUUUAGAAGAAUACAAGUAAAUGUAACAGCUUUGAAAAAUGUAGGAGUAGUUGUCAUAUGCAUUAGGAAGUGCAGAAAUCGCAACAGCACAAGUCCUCCAAAAAGCUAGCCAUGCAAUCGUAUAAGCAAGAACAACUACAGCAAAUAAAAGGUAAAGGUAAUUAUCAAUUUAACUAGAACAAAAAUAAUGAAGUGGGAAGAGGGGUACCCUUCAUUGAUAAAUUUGUCCUGUUCAUCCUCUAUUGGGGGAGAAUUUCUGGUGGAAGUGUCUAUGGCCUGUAUCUGCGGUGGAUCCAUUCCCCCUCGAUCUCUAUUUAGUGCUCCACAGUCUGAAUGUUCUAUUUUUUGUCUGUGUUCGACUGCUAUUUGAGCUUUUUGGAUUGGUUGGUUCAAUGAAGAAAAAGGAAAGAAAAUCAAACUCUUGCCAAAUUUCCGUUUUUAUGCUACUCUACUUACUGUUCAUGCUCUUUUCAUGAUUCUCGUUCAAUUUUCGGAUUUUGUUGGACUUAAUGAGUU